AUGGCGAGCUCCCGUGGCCGGUGGGCGAGCCCCGAGCGCACCGUCGUCUGGACCGAGCCGCCGCCCAAGACCACCUCCGCCACCACCAGGCGUCACGCUCACGCCCACGCCGCACCGCCCGCCAAGGUGCCCGUCGUCUACUACCUCUCGCGCAACGGCCAGCUCGACCACCCGCACUUCAUGGAGGUCCCCGUCUCCAACCCCCAGGACGGCCUCUGCCUCCGAGACGUGCUGGACCGGCUGACGGUGCUGCGGGGCGCCGGCAUGGCGGACGCCUACUCGUGGUCCUCCAAGCGGAGCUACAAGGCCGGCUACGUCUGGCACGACCUCACCGCCGACGACCCCGUGCACCCCGCCAGCGGCGCCGAGUACGUGCUCAAGGGCUCCGAGCUGCUCCCCCUCCUCCCCGCGCCGCCCUACCCGCGCGACGCCUCCGCCGGCUCCUCCUCGUCCUCCUCCACCUCCAGCUGCCAGGCCGGGAGCGAGAACAACAAGAAGAUGCCCGCAGUGGGCAUCAGCAGGGCGCACGGCCGGCGCAAGAACUGGAGCUCCUUCGACCUCGGGGAGUACCGGGUGGCCGCCGCGCGGGGCGGCGCCGGGGCGGACGCGGCCACGCAGACCGACGAGAGACGCGGCCGGCGCCGGGGCCCCGAGCCGACGACGGAGCUCGGCGCGGACGAGAUCUCGCCCCCGCCGUCGUCCAGCAGCCCGGACACGCUGGAGACGCUCAUCAACAACGACGUCCGCGUGGCCGCCGCAUCGAGCACCGUCGCCGCACGCCGGGGGGAGGAGGACGCGGGCCUGGCGCAGCAGGGAGUGAUCGCGGGCGGGCGGAUGCGCGCGUCGGCGGUGCUGAUGCAGCUCAUCUCCUGUGGCUCCAUCCCCGCGGCCCCCAAGCGCGAGACCGGCCCGGGCGGCGCGAGGUACACGGCGGAGCGCAGGCUGCCGCGCGGUCGGUCGGACCUGAGCAGCAGCACCGGCGGCGCAGACGGGUUCUCGGGCAGCAUUGGCGUCGGCGCAAGCAUGGAGCGGGAGUACUUCAGCGGCAGCCUGGUGGAGACCAAGAAGUCGGCGAGCGGCGACCGUGCCGGCCACGGCGGGGAGCUGGGCGCUCUGAAGCGCUCGUCUUCGUACAAUGCCGACAGAGAGUCCACGAUGAACACUGCUAGUACUACUACUACUACUAGUGGUGGUUGUAAGCUGGAGCUUGCGGCGGAGGAGGUGGACGGCGUGCGCGCCCGCUGCAUCCCCGCCGGCAGGAAACCCAGCGGCGGCAGCAGUAAGAAGUCUCCGACCACCCACGUCCACGUUAGCAGCAGGCGCGGUGACCAGCCGGAAACCACCGACGACGGACGGACCGACUGA
Molecule: ribosomal RNA, 1365 nt
Filed under: Triticum aestivum (bread wheat)
Lineage: Eukaryota; Viridiplantae; Streptophyta; Magnoliopsida; Poales; Poaceae
Description: partial small subunit ribosomal RNA
Source: RNAcentral